This 497-nucleotide ribosomal RNA is filed under the name uncultured bacterium. RNAcentral's name for it is "partial 16S ribosomal RNA". It matches the Rfam family "Bacterial small subunit ribosomal RNA", at positions 28 to 507 of the family's 1533-position model. The record is from RNAcentral.
GACGAACGCUGGCGGCGUGCCUAAUACAUGCAAGUUGAGCGAUGAAGAUUGGUGCUUGCACCAAUUUGAAGAGCAGCGAACGGGUGAGUAACGCGUGGGGAAUCUGCCUUUGAGCGGGGGACAACAUUUGGAAACGAAUGCUAAUACCGCAUAACAACUUUAAACAUAAGUUUUAAGUUUGAAAGAUGCAAUUGCAUCACUCAAAGAUGAUCCCGCGUUGUAUUAGCUAGUUGGUGAGGUAAAGGCUCACCAAGGCGAUGAUACAUAGCCGACCUGAGAGGGUGAUCGGCCACAUUGGGACGGAGACACGGCCCAAACUCCUACGGGAGGCAGCAGUAGGGAAUCUUCGGCAAUGGACGAAAGUCUGGCCGAGCAACGCCGCGUGAGUGAAGAAGGUUUUCGGAUCGUAAAACUCUGUUGGUAGAGAAGAACGUUGGUGAGAGUGGAAAGCUCAUCAAGUGACGGUAACUACCCAGAAAGGGACGGCUAACUACGUG